UACGUAGGGUGCGAGCGUUGUCCGGAAUUAUUGGGCGUAAAGGGCUCGUAGGCGGUUUGUCGCGUCGGGAGUGAAAUCCACUGGCUUAACUGGUGGCUUGCUUUCGAUACGGGCAGACUGGAGGUAUGCAGGGGAGAACGGAAUUCCUGGUGUAGCGGUGAAAUGCGUAGAUAUCAAGAGGAACACCAGUGGCGAAGGCGAGUCCCUGGACGAUACCUGACACUGAGGCACGAAAGCCGGGGGAGCAAACAGG
Molecule: ribosomal RNA, 253 nt
Filed under: uncultured bacterium
Lineage: Bacteria
Description: partial 16S ribosomal RNA
Rfam family: Bacterial small subunit ribosomal RNA
Source: RNAcentral